GGCCAGACUCCUACGGGAGGCAGCAGUGGGGGAUAUUGCACAAUGGGGGGAACCCUGAUGCAGCGACGCCGCGUGGGUGAAGAAGCGCCUCGGCGCGUAAAGCCCUGUCAGCAGGGAAGAAAAUGACGGUACCUGAAGAAGAAGCCCCGGCUAACUACGUGCCAGCAGCCGCGGUAAUACGUAGGGGGCAAGCGUUAUCCGGAUUUACUGGGUGUAAAGGGGGCGCAGACGGCGAUGCAAGCCAGGAGUGAAAGCCCGGGGCCCAACCCCAGGACUGCUCUUGGAACUGCGUGGCUGGAGUGCAGGAGGGGCAGGCGGAAUUCCUGGUGUAGCGGUGAAAUGCGUAGAUAUCGGGAGGAACACCAGUGGCGAAGGCGGCCCACUGGGCACUAACUGACGCUGAGGCUCGAAAGCAUGGGUAGCAAACAGGAUUAGAUACCCCAGUAA
This 447-nucleotide ribosomal RNA is filed under the name uncultured bacterium. Its description in RNAcentral is "bacterial SSU rRNA". It matches the Rfam family "Bacterial small subunit ribosomal RNA", at positions 329 to 793 of the family's 1533-position model. The record is from RNAcentral.